GUUGUAGACUAUUUCUUAGGAAACAAUCAAUUUAAGCAUGCAAUGUUGUAUGUUAUUAUUUUUAGUUGUAGACUAUUUCUUAGGAAACAAUCAAUUUAAGCAUGCAAUGUUGUAUGUUAUUAUUUUUAGCUGUAGACUAUUUCUUAGGAAACAAUCAAUUUAAGCAUGCAAUGUUGUAUGUUAUUAUUUUUAGUUGUAGACUAUUUCUCAGGAAACAAUCAAUUUAAGCAUGCAAUGUUGUAUGUUAUUAUUUUUAGUUGUAGACUAUUUCUUAGGAAACAAUAAGAUUUGCAUGAUUGUUUUGUUAUUAAAAUUUAAGGAACGCAUACAUUACAUAUAUAUAAAUAUAAAACUUUGACACCAAAUGGAUAAAUGAAAAGAUGUAGUUCGAAUCCGUGUAGUGCUUCACAUUUAGGUUAUAUUACUUAUUAUAACAGUCUCUGUUUCUAUGUUUAACCUUUCUCAUCUAUUAAAUAAAUUUAAAUUUGUUGAAGAUACCAAUUUAAAUUGCUUAAUUUUUUGAGAGAUGUAAAAGUACCAAGCCGGCACGUUGUUCUAGUUAUAUUUAGUCAAAACUUAUUAUUAUAUUUUAACGGCUGUUUGUUCGCGAUGUUUAAAUACUCAGACUCUGUUGUAGGUACUUUACUCUGUAAACUUAAAAUAUUUAUAAAUUUAGAUCGUUCAGUGCUGUCUAUUUGGUAAUGUAAUUGACGUAAUCAUUCUUGAACCAUCAUAAUUGUCGUUCCUUCUAAAGUUUUAGAAUUGUGCUAGUUCAUAUCGCACAUUAUUAUUUGUUUUUAAAGCAUAUAUUUGAACUCUCUGUUGUAAUAAGCCAUAUAACCUAUGUCAUGUUAAAAAAAAAAUUAUAAUGGUGCAAGCGUCUUAACUGAUAUUCGGUGCCUUUUUAUGAUCUAAAUUCAAGAUUGUAAUAGCUUAAUCUAAGAAGACUUAAAGAUGACUCAUUUAACAUCAGAAUCUUACUUAGGAAGGAUAUACCGGUAUGUUAUCCGAAAUAUUCAUAAAUAAUUACAUAUUUAGUUACCAUUUUUUGUAUUUGGUGUUGUUGUGUACACUUUAUAUAUAUAUAUAAAUAUAUAGCUCUACUAUAAUAGACCUUUCGCUGGCCAUGUGUUACCUUUCCUCGUCAGUUUUAAUCUAGCGGCGUACUACCUUACAUGAUAUAUAAGGCAUGAAGAUGUAACACAUGGCCAGCUCUAUUAUAGUAGAGCCCAGGUGGUCAUGUGGUCUAGCGGGACGGCUGCAGUGCAGGCGAUUUGGUGUAACGAUAUCACAGUAGCAUGGGUUCGAAUCCCUGCGAGGGAAAAACCAAAAACUUGCGAAAGCAAAUUGACAGAUCUAACAUUGUUGGGUUGGUGUUUAGACGAGUUGUAUAUGCAUUAUGUACACAGCCAUGUAUCACCAUCAUUGAUGGCGAUCCGAUGGAUACAUCUGUUGUAGAUUUGUCACCGACUCAGACGUACUCAUAUAAAUAUAUUUCUCUAAUUCUAUGGAAAUUUAUCCCUUUUCGAACCCAUUGUAUAAAAAAAUUUAAUAAACGUGUGGUUGCUGGUGAUCUCAGAAGAUCAUUGGAUGAUUUUAAGGGUCAUGACCUUUUUGGCUGACUGGAUGAACCAAAAUAUGAUAACAGGUGUUAAUGAAAUUGACAACUUCGUGCAAUGUGAAAGGCACUCGAAGGGGAUGUCUUUUUAAUCAUUAGAGAAAC
Molecule: long non-coding RNA, 1723 nt
Filed under: Mytilus galloprovincialis (Mediterranean mussel)
Lineage: Eukaryota; Metazoa; Mollusca; Bivalvia; Mytilida; Mytilidae
Source: RNAcentral